Molecule: ribosomal RNA, 253 nt
Filed under: uncultured bacterium
Lineage: Bacteria
Description: partial 16S ribosomal RNA
Rfam family: Bacterial small subunit ribosomal RNA
Source: RNAcentral
UACGUAGGGGGCAAGCGUUAUCCGGAUUUACUGGGUGUAAAGGGAGCGUAGACGGCAGUGCAAGUCUGGAGUGAAAGGCGGGGGCUCAACCCCCGGACUGCUCUGGAAACUGUACGGCUGGAGUGCAGGAGAGGUAAGUGGAAUUCCUAGUGUAGCGGUGAAAUGCGUAGAUAUUAGGAGGAACAUCAGUGGCGAAGGCGGCUUACUGGACUGUAACUGACGUUGAGGCUCGAAAGCGUGGGGAGCAAACAGG